RNAcentral lists this ribosomal RNA (207 nucleotides) under uncultured bacterium. RNAcentral's name for it is "partial 16S ribosomal RNA". It matches the Rfam family "Bacterial small subunit ribosomal RNA", at positions 568 to 774 of the family's 1533-position model. The record is from RNAcentral.
CACGUAGGCGGCUCGGCAAAUCGGUCGUGGAGUCCAGACGCUUACCGUCUGAACGGCGGCCGAAAAUACCGGGCUCGAGGGCGUGAGGGGUCACUGGAACUCCUGGUGAAGCGGUGAAAUGCGUAGAUAUCAGGAGGAACGCCGGAGGCGAAAGCGAGUGACUGGCGCGUUCCUGACGCUGAGGUGCGAAAGCUAGGGGAGCAAACA